RNAcentral lists this ribosomal RNA (450 nucleotides) under Triticum aestivum (bread wheat). Its description in RNAcentral is "partial small subunit ribosomal RNA". The record is from RNAcentral. Lineage: Eukaryota; Viridiplantae; Streptophyta; Magnoliopsida; Poales; Poaceae.
CUCAAGCUACAACCAUACGCGCAAUCCUCCGUCGCCAAUCGCCCAUGCAAGAAAUUGGCGUUCAAGUUCUUCGGGCCGUUCACUGUUCUAGAACGUGUGGGCAACCUGGCAUAUCGACUGGAAUUGCCCCCGGACAGCCGCAUCCAUCCGGUCUUCCACGUCUCCCAGCUCAAGUCGUUCGUCCCCAACUACACUCCUAUCUUCCUUGAGCUGCCCAAGGUUCCAGACCUCAUCUCCGACGACCAUGCUCCGGUGGCCAUCCUGGACCGCCGCAUGAUGAAGAAGGGGAACGCUCCAGUGGUGCAGGUGCAAGUUCAAUGGAGCUCCAUGUCGCCCUUCGCAACAACUUGGGAAGACUACGCCGUCCUGCGUCAACGCUACCCCAACGCGCAACUGUGGGGGGGAAGAAGAAGCCGCUGCUUGAGCGGGGGCAAAUGUCACGCCUGCUGA